This 253-nucleotide ribosomal RNA is filed under the name uncultured bacterium. RNAcentral's name for it is "partial 16S ribosomal RNA". It matches the Rfam family "Bacterial small subunit ribosomal RNA", at positions 524 to 776 of the family's 1533-position model. The record is from RNAcentral.
GACGUAGGGUGCGAGCGUUGUCCGGAUUUAUUGGGCGUAAAGAGCUCGUAGGCGGCUCGUCGCGUCGACCGUGAAAACCCGCAGCUUAACUGCGGGCUUGCGGUUGAUACGGGCGGGCUAGAGUUCGGUAGGGGAGACUGGAAUUCCUGGUGUAGCGGUGAAAUGCGCAGAUAUCAGGAGGAACACCGGUGGCGAAGGCGGGUCUCUGGGCCGAUACUGACGCUAAGGAGCGAAAGCGUGGGGAGCGAACAGG